AGUGAACGCUGGCGGCAGGCCUAACACAUGCAAGUCGAGCGGAUGAAGGGAGCUUGCUCCUGGAUUCAGCGGCGGACGGGUGAGUAAUGCCUAGGAAUCUGCCUGGUAGUGGGGGAUAACGUCCGGAAACGGGCGCUAAUACCGCAUACGUCCUGAGGGAGAAAGUGGGGGAUCUUCGGACCUCACGCUAUCAGAUGAGCCUAGGUCGGAUUAGCUAGUUGGUGGGGUAAAGGCCUACCAAGGCGACGAUCCGUAACUGGUCUGAGAGGAUGAUCAGUCACACUGGAACUGAGACACGGUCCAGACUCCUACGGGAGGCAGCAGUGGGGAAUAUUGGACAAUGGGCGAAGGCCUGAUCCAGCCAUGCCGCGUGUGUGAAGAAGGUCUUCGGAUUGUAAAGCACUUUAAGUUGGGAGGAAGGGCAGUAAGUUAAUACCUUGCUGUUUUGACGUUACCAACAGAAUAAGCACCGGCUAACUUCGUG
Molecule: ribosomal RNA, 484 nt
Filed under: uncultured bacterium
Lineage: Bacteria
Description: partial 16S ribosomal RNA
Rfam family: Bacterial small subunit ribosomal RNA
Source: RNAcentral